AGAGGCAAGGAUUGAUGAGCUGGAACAGUCAAGUCAUCAAAGUUGUUAAUGGAUGAUGUUGUUAGUUUGCAAGUAGUCUAUUACUUGUUUAGACUUGAGACUUUCAGUUUGCAACAGAAAUAUAGCUGGUAUAAAUAGGAAAUUACAUGUAAAAGAAUACAUUCAUGAUCAUUGAUCAAUAAUAGAAAUUGGAACUUUCGAAUGAUCACUCCUAUCCUCUCUUUCCCACACAUUCCCAUCGUUUCCCUCUGAACAAAAAUUCUCCUUAGAACCAGGCUCUCAAUAAUGAAUUCAGGUCCCAACAUUUAUAUGUCUCUCUCUUAACUCUGUUAACUCUCUUUCGUUCACUUUCUCAUCUUUUACCUCUAGACAAACAUUCACAUUAGAUGCACGUCCUAACAUUUAUAUGAGUGACCUUGUUCCUUAAAGCCCUAGGUGUUUAGAGGGCUUUCUUUUAAAUUUUUAUUUGGCUUCUCACUAACUAGGUCAUUUACGUAAAAAGGCAUAUGCUCAACAAAACAACCAUUUCAAAGUUUAUUUGUUUUAAUGUUUAUUUGGACAAUUAGCCUUUUUAUUUGUCAAUUUUUU
RNAcentral lists this unclassified non-coding RNA (588 nucleotides) under Hevea brasiliensis (rubber tree). Lineage: Eukaryota; Viridiplantae; Streptophyta; Magnoliopsida; Malpighiales; Euphorbiaceae. The record is from RNAcentral.